This is an RNA transcript of Passer montanus (Eurasian tree sparrow), 3085 nucleotides long. It is a transcript of the gene named centromere protein C, with no coding region annotated. NCBI's taxonomy places the organism in Eukaryota, Metazoa, Chordata, Aves, Passeriformes, Passeridae. The record is from RefSeq and is a predicted model, not a curated record. The transcript has 20 exons.
CGCGCGCCCGCCGGCAAAGGCGCGCGAGGUUCGAAGGCGGCGCUGGGCGCGCGCGCGCCGGCCCCGGUCCGGGAUGGCGGAGACCUUGAAUCGUUUAAAAAGAGACUACAGAGCAAGAUUCUGCCAUGGAGGAGGAAAUAAGAUUGAUCUACGGCCAGGUCAAAACGUACUGAAACUCAUACAGGAUUGUUUUGAAAGUUGCAGCAGUGAUCUUGCAAGAAACUCUCCAAAUUGCUCAACCUUUCUUUUGGAUAAUGAGAAGAGGACUUCAAUCCAGAGACAAAGGCUAAGUUCUCACAAGGCAGGGUCAGCCAGCUCUGUGAAAGGAGCCUGUGAGUCUGCAGAACCCUCACCUGCACCACUGCUAAAACCAGUCAGCAGCAGAGGACAGUCAUGUGAAUCACACUUGAAGCCUGCAACACCUGAUUAUGUAGCUACUUCUGAAAAGACAGAGUCUCCUGUGUCUAAAAGUGAAAAAAAAGAUACUUUAAAAGAUGUUGAAGCACCGUUCCAGCAUCCAGCCGUGCCAUUGGACCCUGAGAGUGAUCGUGGGUCUGUUGGAUCACCUUUGCCUGUGGAGGAAGCGAAAAGUUCUCCUGUAGUUAAAUUUCAUUUUGAUAACUGGAGUACGCCAGCUGCAGCAAAGAGCCAUGGAGAAGUGGAAAAUUUGGAAGGAGCUCAGCCUGGGGGAGAUGAGCAGGUUGUUCCUGUGCAAGGAACAGAACGUGUUACUGCAUCAUCUGCCCGGACAGAGAAGACUUUCUCUUCAGCUGUCUUAGCAGCUGUAGCAACAAGAACACUUGUACAGAGAUAUUCAACUUCCAUAUCACCACCAUCACCUUGUCCUGUGAAAUAUCAAGAAAUAGAAGAUGAAUGUGAAUUUUUAAUUGAUGAGUCAGGUGAUGCAUCUUUUACUUCUUGGUUUUCAAUACCUACUAAGAAAAAAAAAUCAAAAAAUGAUGGCUCUGCAGCUCCCAUUUCUAAACCUCAGCCCUCUGAAAAGGAAAAGACACGGAAUAAGAAAGUCAAGAACAGAAAAGAACAGGUUAAAGCACUUAGUAAACAGGAAGAGGAUCAUCUGGAUGUUGGAGCUUUUGACUUCAAAGAAACGUCAGUGUCAGAUCCAAUCUCUAAUAGUGAAGAAAGUGUCCUUAAAUCUCAAAGUCGAAAGAGUUCUUGUGUGGGAAAGACUAAAAAGGAUGCACUUAGACAAGACUCUCCAAACCAGAAAAAGAACACAUCAUGGAAACCAGAAGCUGAAGAACUGAUAUUGUCAUGGGCUGGAUUGGAAGCGGAACCAUCUGAUGAGGAGCAGUGUGAAACAAGGAUGCCAAGUGAGGAUUUGCCUAUGCCCUCAUCUGGGCAUCAGAAAGAGCAGACUGUGUCACUGAAGAAGUCUCUCAGGUCUGCCAAGAAUCUGCGGUUGGCUUCUAAAGCUUCUAAACAUUUAGUUAAGAAGAAACAAACUGCUAAUCAGAAACUUCCAAAUGUCAAAGUAGCUAAGAGAGGGACAGUAACUCCAAGGAAAAAGCUUAAAAUAUCUGUCCAGAAAAGUAGUAAUAAAAAACCUCAGUUACAAAAAGAGGAGAGUUCUGACAGUGAAUCUGGUGAAGAAGAGCUUGAAAGGGAGCCUUUGGAACAGAAUGAAGUGUGUACCACAUCUUUGCAUGAGAAGGACACUCCUGUGAUUCAGAAGUUGUCUAACGCUGAAAAGCCUAGAAAUGUGUUACACACACCAGAGUCACCUGGUGGUGCCAAGAACAGAACUCCUCUAAAAGCACUCCAGCAUCCUGUGGAGAGUGUGAAGAAUCAUGGAAAGAAAUGGUCUGCCAAGUCUUUAGGGAAGAUAACCAAAAAGACUCCACACAGAACCAAUAAAGCUCUUUGCUCAAGCCCUGAAAGCCCUGAGUCUCAAACAGAUUCUGACAGCUCUUCUGUACAGGACGUGGCAAGGAAAAAAGAGAUGUUACCAGAUGUGAAAAUAAAAAGUAACAAAAGAAAACAUAACAGGGAUUCCUUUGAGAAGGUUGAGAAUUGCGCAAGUGGGCCUGUUCUAGAAGAUAGACUUACUUCCAGCACUAAAUCUCCUGAGCUGGACGAUGUAUCUUCAGAUAAUUCUGAAGACUUGAAUUGCAAAUUAAGACACCUGUUGUCAGAUGAAACAGCAAAGCAUAAAAUAGUUAUGCCUUCCAACACACCUAAUGUUCGUCGGACAAAAAGGAUACGGAUGAAACCUCUGGAAUACUGGAGAGGCGAGCGCACAAACUAUUCUAUGGAGCCUUCAGGAGGGCUUGUGAUGAGUGGACUAGUGCAUCCAGUAACAGAAUCUCCUAGGAAGAGUAAAAGGAGGAAGGAUUGUCCGAAGCAGAAAACAGAUAAAACAAAUAGAGAAGAGAUACCUGUAAAUUUGGACCACAGCCUAGGUGAUGCAUCUAAGCCAGCCGUUGUACUGGACCCAGUAACAAAUAAUGAAGUGCAUCUAGAUUGUAUAAACACUGCAGACAGUCGCACUUACUUCUUCAAAGAUGAAGCAGUAGAAAUACAAAAAAGUUUGAAUACAUCUCUUUUUGCAACUGGUAGAUUGAUUCUGAAGCCAUAUAAAGAAAAGGGGCACCAAUUUGUCGACAUGGAUACAAUAGCUUUCCAUAUUAUCCAUGGCAAAGUUAUAGUGACAUUACAUAACACAUCGUAUUACCUGACUGCAGGGGACUGCUUCUAUGUUCCAGCAGGAAAUGGAUAUAACAUACGUAAUCUUCUGAAUGAAGAAAGUGUUCUUCUCUUCACACAACUCAAAGACAGAACAAGAUCAAGAAAUGUGGUUUUGGACACCUCUUCCCCAUAACUUUACCUGCAAAUUGAAGAUCAUCUAAUGCAGAGGAGUUCUAAAGAACAUUGAACAUUUUCAUCGGACACCCCAGUUUUAGGGGCAUGUUGUUUCAUUGAUCUUAAAGAUCUUUCUUCAGUGUAAAUGUUCCCAAGGGCCAAGCGUCUGCAGAGGAUAACAGACACAUUCUGAGAGCUGGGAGCAGGACCGUGCCUCUGCUGAAGGCCAGCCAGGCAGCCCGUUCCACGUGGAGGGUGGAGG